GGGCCCGCACAAGCGGUGGAGCAUGUGGUUUAAUUCGAUGAUACGCGAGGAACCUUACCAGGGCUUAAAUGUAAGUUGCAUAAGUUAGAGAUAGCUUUUUCUUCGGACUACUUACAAGGUGCUGCAUGGUUGUCGUCAGCUCGUGCCGUGAGGUGUCAGGUUAAGUCCUAUAACGAGCGCAACCCCUAUUCUUAGUUGCCAGCGGUUCGGCCGGGGACUCUAAGAAGACUGCCAGCGCAAGCUGAGAGGAAGGUGGGGAUGACGUCAAAUCAUCACGGCCCUUACGUCCUGGGCUACACACGUGCUACAAUGGUAGAGACAGAGGGCAGCCACCUGGUGACAGGGAGCGAAUCCCAAAAAGUGCGUCGUAGUCCGGAUCGGAGUCUGCAACUCGACUCCGUGAAGUCGGAAUCGCUAGUAAUCG
RNAcentral lists this ribosomal RNA (424 nucleotides) under uncultured bacterium. RNAcentral's name for it is "bacterial SSU rRNA". It matches the Rfam family "Bacterial small subunit ribosomal RNA", at positions 917 to 1344 of the family's 1533-position model. The record is from RNAcentral.